AUGAGAAAGGAGUUUGGGGGCUUUGGGAUUACUGACAUUGGGGACAUGAAUCUGGCUUUAUUAGCUUCUUGGAUUAGUAGGUACUAUAACUUUGAGGGUAAGAUCUGGAAAAACAUCACUGAUUCCAAAUAUAAUCUGCAGAGUAAUAUAUUUGCUUGUUCUAAUUCUGGAGCAUCCCCUUUCUGGAAAGGGGUGCUCUGGGCAGCUCAAGCUGUUAAAGUUGGUUUCUCUUGGAAGAUUGGUAAUGGCAAGAGGGUUAGGUUCUGGGAAGAUCAUUGGUUCGGCAAUGCCACUCUGGCUACCCAGUACUGGGACCUUUAUGUACUAGCCAAUGAGCAAAAUCCCACCAUUGAUAAAAUAUGGGAUGGCCAUACCCUUAAGCUUACCUUUCGGAGAUGUUUCACAUAGGAAUAGUUGUCUUUAUGGUUCGAACUUUUGUAAAUUGCUAGCUCUAUCCAUCUUACAGAUGAAGAUGACUCCCUAGUUUGGAAUAUGAAUUCCAAAGGGGUUUACUCUGUUAAAUCCUUUUAUAAAUUUGUUAAUUUUAGGGGGGUGCUACCAAUCAGCUCCCCUGCCAUUUGGAAGAUCAAGAUCCCCCCUAGAAUUCAGAUUUUUCUUUGGCUUUUAACUAAUAACAAGCUGCUAACCAGAGAUAACCUGUGCAAAAGGCAGAAUGUAGAUGACCUUACUUGUGUUUUUUGCAACGAACAAGAAUCUUGUUCUCAUCUAUUUAGUACUUGUGUUGUUGCUGUUGAAUUCUGGAAAGCCAUCUGUGUCCUUACUGGAGUUAAUGAUGACAUCAAUAUAAUGUCCAUCUUCUCCUGCUGGAUCAGAGGAGAUAGCUUUGCUGCGACUAAUAUUGUUCAUGCAGCUGGGCUGUGGGCUGAUACGUCUCCAAUGUAUCUAUAA
Molecule: ribosomal RNA, 909 nt
Filed under: Triticum aestivum (bread wheat)
Lineage: Eukaryota; Viridiplantae; Streptophyta; Magnoliopsida; Poales; Poaceae
Description: partial small subunit ribosomal RNA
Source: RNAcentral